This 752-nucleotide ribosomal RNA is filed under the name uncultured beta proteobacterium. RNAcentral's name for it is "bacterial SSU rRNA". It matches the Rfam family "Bacterial small subunit ribosomal RNA", at positions 17 to 778 of the family's 1533-position model. The record is from RNAcentral. Lineage: Bacteria; Pseudomonadati; Pseudomonadota; Betaproteobacteria.
UCCCCACCUAUGAACCUGGCGGCAUGCCCUACACAUGCAAGUCGAACGGCAGCAUGAUCUAGCUUGCUAGAUUGAUGGCGAGCGGCGAACGGGUGAGUAAUACAUCGGAACGUGCCCUGUAGUGGGGGAUAACUAGUCGAAAGAUUAGCUAAUACCGCAUACGACCUGAGGGUGAAAGUGGGGGACCGCAAGGCCUCAUGCUAUAGGAGCGGCCGAUGUCUGAUUAGCUAGUUGGUGAGGUAAAGGCUCACCAAGGCGACGAUCAGUAGCUGGUCUGAGAGGACGAUCAGCCACACUGGGACUGAGACACGGCCCAGACUCCUACGGGAGGCAGCAGUGGGGAAUUUUGGACAAUGGGGGCAACCCUGAUCCAGCAAUGCCGCGUGUGUGAAGAAGGCCUUCGGGUUGUAAAGCACUUUUGUCCGGAAAGAAAUCGCACUUACUAAUAUUAGGUGUGGAUGACGGUACCGGAAGAAUACGGACCGGCUAACUACGUGCCAGAAGCCGACGGUAAUACGUAGGGUCCAAGCGAUAAUCGGAAUUACUGGGCGUAAAGCGUGCGCAAGGCGGGUUGUGCAAGACCGAUGUGAAGUCCCCGGGCUUAAGCGGGGAAUAGCAUAGGUGAAUGAACGAUCGAGUGUGCCACAGGGGGCAAAAUUCAAGUGUAGCAGUAAAUGCGUAAAAAUGGGAGGAUAACGAUUGAAAAGGGGCACCUGGGAAACUGACGCAAUGCAAAACGGGGGCAACAGGAU